Molecule: ribosomal RNA, 262 nt
Filed under: uncultured bacterium
Lineage: Bacteria
Description: partial 16S ribosomal RNA
Rfam family: Bacterial small subunit ribosomal RNA
Source: RNAcentral
CGCGGUAAUACGGAGGAUCCGAGCGUUAUCCGGAUUUAUUGGGUUUAAAGGGUGCGUAGGCGGUCCUGCAAGUGGUGCGUGAAAGCGCCCGGCUCAACCGGGCGAGGACGUGGGCGAACUGCAGGGCUAGAGGCAGGUAGAGGCGUGUGGAAUUCCGGGUGUAGUGGUGAAAUGCGUAGAGAUCCGGAGGAACACCAGUGGCGAAGGCGACACGCUGGGCCUGGCCUGACGCUGAGAGGCGAAAGCAUGGGGAGCGAACGGG